UUCCUUGUGUGCUUAAACAAGGCGUCACUAAAGAUGAAGCAAAUGGCAUAAUAGAGAAGAUAAAAGCUGCUGGAGGAGUUGCAGUUAUGGAGUGAUAGCUUAAGGUUUCUUGUAGUUUUGUUUCUUGAAUCUCUUUGAAGAGGUUGGUUUACUGCGUGGAAGCAGGAGCAGAAUACCAACUUUACUGCGUGGAAGCAGGAGCAGAAUACCAACUCACCACAUAACAGAAUGGUAUUUGAUUUUGUGGAUGGAUCGCAAUCGUUAUCAUAGACAUGCAUGAAUAAUUAGUCUCAACUCGGUUUCUGCAUUGCAUCACU
RNAcentral lists this long non-coding RNA (317 nucleotides) under Populus trichocarpa (black cottonwood). RNAcentral describes it as "long non-coding RNA (PTRI_LNC003486)". The record is from RNAcentral. Lineage: Eukaryota; Viridiplantae; Streptophyta; Magnoliopsida; Malpighiales; Salicaceae.